This 472-nucleotide ribosomal RNA is filed under the name uncultured bacterium. Its description in RNAcentral is "partial 16S ribosomal RNA". It matches the Rfam family "Bacterial small subunit ribosomal RNA", at positions 29 to 507 of the family's 1533-position model. The record is from RNAcentral.
AGUGAACGCUGGCGGUAUGCCUAACACAUGCAAGUCGAACGGCAGCACAGUAAGAGCUUGCUCUUACGGGUUGCGAGUGGCGGACGGAUGAGGAAUACAUCGUAAUCUACUUUUUCGUGUGGGAUAACGUAGGUAAACUUACGCUAAUACCGCAUACGACCUACGGUUGAAAGCAGUGGAUCUUCGGACCCUGCGCGUGUGGAUGGGCCGAUGUCGGAUUAGCUGGUUGGCGGGGUAGAUGCCCACCAAGGCUACGACGGGUAGCUGGCCUGAGAGGGUGACCGGCCACAUGGGGACUGAGAUACGGCCCAGACUCCUACGGGAGGCAGCAGUGGGGAAUAUUGCACAAUGGGCGGAAGCCUGAUGCAGCAACGCCGCGUGCGGGAUGACGUCCUUCGGGUUGUAAACCGCUUUCGCCUGUGACGAAGCGUGAGUGACGGUAAUGGGUAAAGAAGCACCGGCUAACUACGUG